GCCGGACCUGAUAAGCUUGCCUAGAACAGGGAUGGUGGGUAUCUCCAGAUUUUCCAUAUUGUACUUGAUCACUUCGCUGCACACAGUCCAUCUGUCGACUCUAACAAGCCGUGCAUGGAGAGCUUCCUGUACAUCUUCUCUGUUCAAGUACUUCAUAGUUUCAUCUUCUAUACAGACAUCAAUUUCCCCGACAUUUUCCAUUUUAUUCAAUACAUGGGAUUGUGAUUGGAUUGUUGAUAAGCAAACAUCUAGAGUAAUGUCAUAGGUAUCUACAAAUUUGCUAACUUCUCUUGAGUAUUGGCUAUUUACUCUAGAGCAAUCUGGGGACAGAGAGCCAAUAAUUUGGUAUUGUCUCCUGAUUUGAGAAUAGUUACAAACAGUAGUAAAAAUCUCAUAAGUUGCAUCUGAUA
This 410-nucleotide unclassified non-coding RNA is filed under the name Hevea brasiliensis (rubber tree). Lineage: Eukaryota; Viridiplantae; Streptophyta; Magnoliopsida; Malpighiales; Euphorbiaceae. The record is from RNAcentral.